GGCUUUAGUCAUGGUGUUUAUGCCCUUGAAGGGGAUUAUGGGCUCUCGCUCUCUCUCUCUUUCUCCUGGAAUGAGAUGUACCACCCCUAAUUCACAUUUCCGUCAGCCAGAUGCCACAAAGUGAUACAGUUAAGGGGCAGCCCUCACAUAGCCUGCUUGCUCUACGCCAUUUGACUUUGAAGAUCCAAAAUGAAGCUAAUGAACCUUCUCCUUUAUAGUUAGUUAUCUCAGGUAUUUUGAUGUAGUAAGGAGAAGCUGACUAAUAUAAUUGGAUUAUCUUAAUGAUUCUAUUGUAGGAGAAAACUUAUUUUGCUUGGUUAGGGCCUUUAGUGUCAAUAAGUAAAGAAAAAUGUGGCUAAAUUUUCAUAAGUUAAUUUAAUUCUCAAAUACACGAGAAUCAAGUUGCAGUAACAUUUAUACAUGCUGAUAACUCUAAGCAAGGCCUAAGGCCCAGUGCAAAUUUUAGGGCAUUUGUAGAACUGUAAUUUUAAAUUUACUGUUUUUUCUUUCUUUCUGGGAUACUUGGGUAUCUUUUUCCACUUGGGUCUUAGAGCUAACUACUCUUGUUACAGAUACUAGUGAACAUUUGUACUCAAUGAACUCAAAUCCUAGUAUAGAUUGAUUUUGUACUAUGAGCUCCACUGGGCUUAGUCUGUGAAUUCUGGCCCAAAUAGUAAAAUAUACUCAACUAGAGUGAUUAAAAUAAUGCGCAAUUGGAUAUUCUUCCUUUCUGACUCAUUUCUGGGAAUAAAGUCUAAAAAUUUAUUAAAUAUCUGUAUCUCAGACAUCAAUUCAAAGUCAUGGAGUUUAUGCCCUUAAAAGUGAAUUAAUUAGCCCUAAGUUAUAAUGCUUAUUGAUUGUUUGAGAAAGACAUAUAAUCUUAUUUAGGUUUAAAAUUCCCUGAGGUGUGUAUCUUUUUUGGAUUUCUCUCUCUCUCUCUCUCUCUCUCUCUCUCCUUAGAUUUAAAAGUUAGUGGCUCAACCAUUGAAUUCAUCUACCCACAGAGUCCCAUCUCAGGGCUGGCUUCUUGCCAAGAUUUUGGGGUGGAAACUUGCAGAUCUUGUGCGGCUAGCAGACCGAAGUCCUUUCCCUGUGUGAAUGAGGAUGGAACCAGGCCAGGAUUGGAGCUCUUAGCACUGCAUCUGAUCACCCUGGGCAAGUGGCUUAGCUUCCUUCUCUCAGUAUCUGUUUUGUUUUACAUCAAAUAAGUUAAUGCUUGUCUUCUACCUAAGGAGCCAUGCAAGGGAUAACAAAGAAAAGCAUGCUUAAUGAAUUACCAAGUGCUAUUCAUUCAUGAAGUUCUGUUGGGAAUGAAUGAUUGCCUAGGC
This 1328-nucleotide long non-coding RNA is filed under the name Heterocephalus glaber (naked mole-rat). RNAcentral describes it as "lncRNA (ENSHGLG00100047454.1)". Lineage: Eukaryota; Metazoa; Chordata; Mammalia; Rodentia; Bathyergidae. The record is from RNAcentral.